RNAcentral lists this ribosomal RNA (500 nucleotides) under uncultured bacterium. RNAcentral's name for it is "partial 16S ribosomal RNA". It matches the Rfam family "Bacterial small subunit ribosomal RNA", at positions 30 to 523 of the family's 1533-position model. The record is from RNAcentral.
AUUGAACGCUGGCGGAAUGCUUUACACAUGCAAGUCGAACGGCAGCACGGACUUCGGUCUGGUGGCGAGUGGCGAACGGGUGAGUAAUGUAUCGGAACGUGCCCAGUCGUGGGGGAUAACGUAGUGAAAAUUACGCUAAUACCGCAUACGAUCUAUGGUUGAAAGCGGGGGAUCGCAAGACCUCGCGCGAUUGGAGCGGCCGAUAUCAGAUUAGGUAGUUGGUGGGGUAAAGGCCCACCAAGCCAACGAUCUGUAGCUGGUCUGAGAGGACGACCAGCCACACUGGAAAUGAGACACGGGCCAGACUCCUACGGGAGGCAGCAGUGGGGAAUUUUGGACAAUGGGCGAAAGCCUGAUCCAACCAUUCCGCGUGCAGGAUGAAGGCCCUCGGGUUGUAAACUGCUUUUGUACAGAACGAAAAGGUUUCUACUAAUACUAGGAGCUCAUGACGGUACUGUAAGAAUAAGCACCGGCUAACUACGUGCCAGCCGCCGCGGUAA